GUACUUAGUAUGCUGGAAACAUCAGUUCUCGUCCGAUCACCGAAGUUAAGUAUCAUGGGACAUGGUUAGUACUUGGGAGGGUGUUCACCUGGGAAAACCGCGUG
Molecule: non-coding RNA, 104 nt
Organism: Trichonephila inaurata madagascariensis
Lineage: Eukaryota; Metazoa; Arthropoda; Arachnida; Araneae; Nephilidae
Source: the annotation of a GenBank genome assembly